CCUGAAUAUAAGGCAUUGUAAUUUACACACUUUAUAAACUUUUCUGUUUAAAUAUUGUCAUUGAUUUUUGAUCAGAGGAAAUGUUCAGUUUGGGUUUCUGUAGCUCACUUCUUUUAGAAGAAAUAGGCUAUUGAAUCCCAUCUCUCUGAAAUUUUGCUUUUUCACCAAGGAAGGCAAAAAGAUGCUGCCCUGACAUAGCAGGGUGCAAAGCUCCCUUUUUUGUUUCAGGACCCUUUAAGCUGUUGCCAUCUCUUUUUUUUUUUUUUUUUUUUUUUUUUCUUUUCUGCACAGCCAUUCUUUGGGUGCUGCUUCUGUCUGGCUGGAGACCCUGCUUGCAGUUACCUGCUUCUGUGAAGGAGCUUAGCCUGGCUCUCAAAAUGAAGACUUUCAGGUGUUUUCUGCCUAGACAUCCUAAGGGAGAGCUAUGAGAGGUGUUCAGGAACAAGCCUCUCAAUGCCUUCAUGUUAUAUUUUGGAACAGCUGGUCCAGGCAAAGAGAAGAUGGAAAGUUGUGGGAGAGCUGUGCAUGGAACAAGAGCCUUCAAAUCCUGGACAGACCUCAUGGGCAGCUGGCAGGUUUCUGUAGUUCCUGCAGCAGGAGAGGGCAGCCUGGAGGACCUUAGCAGCUGCAGAAGGAAGACGACGUUGAGUGCAGAUAUUCCAAAACCUGGACAGAAGCUAUGCCCAGUGGGUUUUUACAGAGUGCCUGGCCUUAUGUGCAUUUGA
RNAcentral lists this long non-coding RNA (725 nucleotides) under Anas platyrhynchos platyrhynchos (common mallard). RNAcentral's name for it is "lncRNA (ENSAPLG00000028432.1)". The record is from RNAcentral. Lineage: Eukaryota; Metazoa; Chordata; Aves; Anseriformes; Anatidae.